This 254-nucleotide ribosomal RNA is filed under the name uncultured bacterium. Its description in RNAcentral is "partial 16S ribosomal RNA". It matches the Rfam family "Bacterial small subunit ribosomal RNA", at positions 524 to 776 of the family's 1533-position model. The record is from RNAcentral.
UACGGGGGGGGGCAAGCGUUGUUCGGAAUUACUGGGCGUAAAGGGCUCGUAGGCGGCCAACUAAGUCGGACGUGAAAUCCCCAGGCUCAACCUGGGAACUGCGUCCGAUACUGGAUGGCUUGAAUCCGGGAGAGGGAUGCAGAAUUCCAGGUGGAGCGGUGAAAUGCGUUGAUAUCGAUAGGAACUCCGGUGGCGAAGGCGGCAUACUGGACCACCUCUGACGCUGAGGCGCGAAAGCCAGGGGAGCAAACGGG